UGCACGGGUCCUUCCUCUUUUCCCUCUGCCAUGGGACCUGGAUGUCAGGUUGUGGAAGACGGAUGGAGCAGAACUGGAGAGCCUCAGCUUUGCUGCAGUGACAUACAGAUGGCUAGAAAAGUAUUGAACACACAUUAGGAAACCACCGCACGUUUGUUGAACAGAAUGUUCCUUCGUUCUUCUUGCCCGAGGGAGUCCCUUCCAGGUUCUGUCCUCUGGAAGCUCUACUCCAAAGCACAGAGCGAGUCCUAAUCAGGAUGAAGAAGAUUUGAGGGCCCUGUCUAUUCUUUUCACAAGGAUUAGGAAAGCUGAGUUUAGAUUUCCCUCUGCCAUUGUGUGGGAACCUAGGUGGAGAGUUUUGUUGUGGAGAAUUCUCUGAUAACCUUUCCCUUGUGUUCUGAAGAUGGCGGUGGAUUUCACCGUGGACAGGAAGGAGCUCUCUCUUUUCAUCUGUUGGGGGAGGGGGUUGGAAAUUUGGUUAAGAAGCCUUAGUGCUGGCCCUGAGGCUCAGAACCAUUCAGAUGCUUGAAGAGCCCACCUUCAGGUGGAGGCCGGAAAGAAGUGGCUACUGUGUCUGGAUAUGGUUUGGCUAUUAAGACUGUGGGUAAAGAGCCAGUGAAUCUUUUCAGUCAGUCUCUCCUUCUGGGACUUCCAGAAUCUCCAUCUCAUUGUGAUGGAAAAGAAACAAAGUGUGGACUGCUCCAAAGAGGGGAGACAGUAUCAAGAUUGAUAGCCCUCAUGAGAGAUCCUGGGCUCUGCACCCUGCUGGAAGCAACCGUGUCUCUCCUCCCUUGUUCCAAUGAACGGACUGGACACAUAUAAACAAACUGAUGCAGGGGAAGCUGUAGGCUCUAAACGGAGGCUCCAUCCGUGGAAUUCACUCCAUUCCCCUCCACAUGGUGUCUAGAGGGGAUUGAGAAAAUCUUCUCUCAACAUGGGCCUUAUUCAUUGGUGAAAAUUUCCCUUUAAAAACACUUUAUAGGCAUUCAUUGAAAGGUUAUAGGUUCAAGGUUUUGUGAGGAAAACUGUGGAAGAAAUGGAGCUAAGUGAGACAUGAUCUGCUUCUCAAUGACUCACUAUCUGCUGGGGGAGACAGAGCUCUCCAGAUGCAGUGAUGGCAAUAGGCUGAUUGUUGUCGGUGCUGUAAUAUACAUGGAACCAUUCACUGAAAGAGCAGCGAGGAAGAGAUUUGUGUGGACUGAGGGAGUAAAGAAAGCUCAUCGGAGAAGGAAGGCAAUCUAAUGAAGGCUGUUCAUGGCGAUCAAGCCAAAAUCUUCAGCCACUACACUUGAGUCAAGACUUCAGCACCAGCUUGAUCCAAGAGGCAUUGGAGGAGGAUUUCACAUGCCAUGUUGGAGAAAAGGUCCUAGUAAUUGACUGUGUUCAGGCUCUUUAGAUACGGGACUUGGUUCAGCAAUAUUAGCCCUUGAGAUUUUUCUCAUCCCCUCCUGUAUAUCCUCUUGGUCUUUAUGAUUCUUGGGGUCCCUAGCAGAUGGGGGCUCUGAUCUAGGGACUGUCAAAACUAUUCAACUUAAAAGAGCUCAAGCAAAAAAUAUUGAUUUACUAAAAAAUAU
This is a long non-coding RNA of Equus caballus (horse), 1574 nucleotides long. The record is from Ensembl. Lineage: Eukaryota; Metazoa; Chordata; Mammalia; Perissodactyla; Equidae.